AAAACAGGCUGCUCUAUCGUCUUUAUAGCUUUAUGGCUAUGGGGAAGGAAAGUCCGGGCAGCACAUGGCAGCUCGCCUCCUAACGGGAGGAUCACGACAUUUAAUUGGCGGGAUAGAAAGUGUAACAGAAAAUUGUCCUGAGUGUAUCAGGAGUGAAAAAAGCUGAUGGUAACAUUAGUGAUCUACAAACCUCGGGUGCUGAAAGGUCAAAUAAGUUCCGGUGUAAGGUUAGCCAGACCGUUCGGAAUGGGUGGACUGAUACAACUUGCCAGUGAUGGUAAGUGCAGAUAAAUGAUAGGGAAUUACAGAACCCGGCUUAUAGGUCUGUUUUUAUU
This 335-nucleotide RNase P RNA is filed under the name Bacteroidota bacterium. Its description in RNAcentral is "Bacteroidetes bacterium (activated sludge metagenome) RNase P RNA component class A". It matches the Rfam family "Bacterial RNase P class A". Rfam says of the family: Ribonuclease P (RNase P) is a ubiquitous endoribonuclease, found in archaea, bacteria and eukarya as well as chloroplasts and mitochondria. The record is from RNAcentral. Lineage: Bacteria; Pseudomonadati; Bacteroidota.